Cricetulus griseus (Chinese hamster) is the source of this 324-nucleotide unclassified non-coding RNA. Its record names the gene 7SK. It matches the Rfam family "7SK RNA". From Rfam's summary of the family: 7SK was discovered as an abundant small nuclear RNA in the mid-70s but a possible function has only recently been suggested. Two independent studies have found that 7SK RNA binds the CDK9/cyclin T complex (known as elongation factor P-TEFb). P-TEFb activates transcription by phosphorylating the C-terminal domain of RNA polymerase II. The record is from Ensembl. NCBI's taxonomy places the organism in Eukaryota, Metazoa, Chordata, Mammalia, Rodentia, Cricetidae.
GGAUGUGAGGUCAAUCUGGUAGCACCAUCUGUCACCCCAUUGAUCACCAGGGCUGAUUUGGCUGAUCUACCUGGCUGGAUGAGUGUCCCUUUCCUCCCUCACUGACCCAUGUGAGUCUCUCCCAAAGCUGGGUGCUUGAUGGAAUAGGAAAACCUUCCCUGAAUAGAGGAGAAACCAUCUUAGGUCAAGGGUAUAUGAGUAGCUGUGCUCCCCUGCUAGAACCUUCAAAGAAAAAAACAAAAACUUUUCUAAAUCCAGAAAAACCUCUCAAGGUAUCAUCCAAUUUCCCUGUUCUAUCAUCGCAAUAAAACUUGCAAAAACAGG